CCUACGGGAGGCAGCAGUGGGGAAUAUUGGGCAAUGGGCGCAAGCCUGACGCAGCAACGCCGCGUGAAGGAAGAAGGCUUUCGGGUUGUAAACUUCUUUUCUCAGGGACGAAGAAAGUGACGGUACCUGAGGAAUAAGCCGCGGCUAACUACGUGCCAGCAGCCGCGGUAAUACGUAGGUGGCAAGCGUUAUCCGGAUUUACUGGGUGUAAAGGGCGUGUAGGCGGGACUGCAAGUCAGAUGUGAAAACCACGGGCUCAACCGCGGAACUGCAUUUGAAACUGGUUUGCUGGAGUACCGGAGAGGUUAUUGGAAUUCCGUGUGUAGCGGUGAAAUGCGUAGAUAUAAGGAAGAACACCAGUGGCGAAGGCGGAUGACUGGACGGCAACUGACGGUGAGGCGCGAAAGCGUGGGGAGCAAACAGGAUUAGAUACCCUUGUAGUC
RNAcentral lists this ribosomal RNA (443 nucleotides) under uncultured bacterium. RNAcentral describes it as "partial 16S ribosomal RNA". It matches the Rfam family "Bacterial small subunit ribosomal RNA", at positions 338 to 795 of the family's 1533-position model. The record is from RNAcentral.